Molecule: ribosomal RNA, 417 nt
Filed under: Triticum aestivum (bread wheat)
Lineage: Eukaryota; Viridiplantae; Streptophyta; Magnoliopsida; Poales; Poaceae
Description: partial small subunit ribosomal RNA
Source: RNAcentral
CACUUAUCUGAGAGCUCGGACCAAGUUGUGUGGACCCUGGGGGGAAAGAAAAAAUUCACAACUAAAUCAGUGUAUGAGUACAUUGAGAGAAAUUUAGCUGGAUGCAACUACAAGUGGAUUUGGAAAGCUAAGAUUCCACUUAAAAUCCAAAUAUUCCUUUGGCAGCUGUUUCAAGAUGCUGUCUUGACAAGAGAUGUCAUGAAGCGAAGGCGCUGGGCUGGAAAUCUGAAAUGUUCAUUUUGUAGAGGCAAAAAGACCUCUCAACAUCUCUUCUUUAUAUGUCCUAUAGCCAGAGUGGUCUGGAGGACGGUGGGUUGUACGUUGGGUACUCAUAGAUACCCAAACAAUAUUUGGCACUUUUUUCCUGGUGUUAUGUUUUCCUCCCUGAUGGUGAAAGAUUUUACACCUUCGGAUUAG